AAACCAACAGGGAUUGCCUCAGUAACGGCGAGCGAAGCGGCAAAAGCUCAAAUUUGAAAUCUGGCGUCUUUCUUAGGCGUCCGAGUUGUAAUUUGAAGAUGGCAACUUUGGGAUUGGCUCUCGCAUAUGUUCCUUGGAACAGGACGUCAUAGAGGGUGAGAACCCCGUUCAUGGCGAGAUGACCCAAUUCUAUGUAAAGUGCUUUCUAAGAGUCGAGUUGUUUGGGAAUGCAGCUCUAAGUGGGUGGUAAAUUCCAUCUAAGGCUAAAUAUUGGCGAGAGACCGAUAGCGAACAAGUACAGUGAUGGAAAGAUGAAAAGAACUUUGAAAAGAGAGUGAAAAAGUACGUGAAAUUGUUGAAAGGGAAGGGCUUGAAAUCAGACUUGGUAUUCAGUGAUCAACUGUCUCUCGGGACUGUGCACUCGCUGUUUACUGGGCCAACAUCGGUUUAGAGGGUGAGAUAAAAGCUAGAGAAUGUGGCACUGCUUCGGUAGUGUGUUAUAGCUCUGGUCAAUAUCACCACUCUAGACCGAGGACUGCGCUUUAUGCUAGGAUGUUGGCGUAAUGAUUUUAAGCCAC
Molecule: ribosomal RNA, 578 nt
Filed under: Blastobotrys terrestris
Lineage: Eukaryota; Fungi; Ascomycota; Dipodascomycetes; Dipodascales; Trichomonascaceae
Description: eukaryotic LSU rRNA
Rfam family: Eukaryotic large subunit ribosomal RNA
Source: RNAcentral